RNAcentral lists this ribosomal RNA (255 nucleotides) under uncultured bacterium. RNAcentral describes it as "partial 16S ribosomal RNA". It matches the Rfam family "Bacterial small subunit ribosomal RNA", at positions 524 to 777 of the family's 1533-position model. The record is from RNAcentral.
UACGGGGGGGGGCAAGCGUUGUUCGGAAUUACUGGGCGUAAAGGGCUCGUAGGCGGCCAACUAAGUCAGACGUGAAAUCCCUCGGCUUAACCGGGGAACUGCGUCUGAUACUGGAUGGCUAGAGGUUGGGAGAGGGAUGCGGAAUUCCAGGUGUAGCGGUGAAAUGCGUAGAUAUCUGGAGGAACACCGGUGGCGAAGGCGGCAUCCUGGACCAAUUCUGACGCUGAGGAGCGAAAGCCAGGGGAGCAAACGGGG